Molecule: long non-coding RNA, 1774 nt
Filed under: Mus musculus (house mouse)
Lineage: Eukaryota; Metazoa; Chordata; Mammalia; Rodentia; Muridae
Description: long non-coding RNA chr14:46849254-46851028
Source: RNAcentral
CACACACACACACACACACACACACACACACACACACACUGUAGCUGUCUUCAGACACACCAGAAAAGGGCAUCAGAUCCCAUUACAGAUGGUAAUGAGCCACCAUGUGGUUGCUGGGAAUUGACCUCAGGACCUCUGGAAAAGCAGCCAUUGCUCUUAACUGCUGAGCCAUCUCUUCCAGCCCUGUUUAUUUUUUUUUUUUAAUAACUGCAUAGUAUUUCAUUUGGUUUGAAUGAAAAGUCAUAAUCCUAAACAUUGGACCAAAAUCCUAAAAUAUAAUUCUGGGAAACACAAUUUUAAAACUUUAGUUAAAAGACAUUUACAUUUCUUCAAGGGAGUUUAGGGCCUGCAAGAUGGCUAAUGGGGUAAAUGGAUUUGCCACACAAGCCUGGUGACCUGAAUUCUAUCACUAGAGUCUGUUUAAAGGUGGAAGGAGACAACAGACCCCACAAAGUUGUUUCCUCAAAGUUAAUAACAGUAAAAUAAAGCUGCGAGUACACCCCAUACCCACACACAGUAAUAAUAUUAAUAAUAAGGAAAAUUUAUUUGAGAGACAAACAUGUUAGAAUACUCAAUAGGCUACUUUACAAAAUAAAAUAGACAAUCGUGUCUUGUGUGUUUUUACAAAUAUAAAGUUCUGAUGUGCCAGUGAUGUUCUACAAGUCUUAGAGUUAUAAGGAGACAAACUGUGUUCACAAAAGAUAAGCCAAAAAGCAGAACUUUUAAACAUAUGCCACUGGAUGUGUAGUGGUUUGAAUAUGCUUAGCCCAGAGAGUAGCACUAUUAGGAGGUGUGGCCUUGGUUAGAGUAGAUGUGUCACUGUGGGGAUGGACUUUGAGACCCUCUUCCUGGCUGCCUGGAAGAAUGUAGUUUUCUGGGCCAUUCCAAUCAAGAUGUAGAACUCUUGGCUCCUCUAGCCCCAUGUCUGCCUAGGCAUUGCCAUGCUUCCUGCCUUGAUGAUACUGAACUGAACCACUGAAACUAUAAGCCAGCCCCAAUUAAAUGUUGUCCUUUUAAAAAGUUGCCUUGGUCAUGGUGUCUUUCAUAGCAACAAAACCAUAACUAAAACAUGAUAUUGAUUUGUAUGCCAACUUUAUAACUAAAGACAUACAAAGACAUACCUUAGGUUUUCUUGAUGAGAUUAAUCAAAAGUCAUAACCAUAAUGAAACACGGUAGUUAGCCAGAGCAAAAAAACUCCAGAAAUGUCUUCUUUUAUAAGUUCAGCUAUUCGGGAAGGACCCUCUUCAUUUAGUGAGGACAUUGUGUGUGUAUACGCCCACAUAGUGAGGACAGUGGCUCUCUGUGUGUAUACGCCCACAGGUCAGCACCAGUUGUUUUUCCCCUUAUUUUUCUGAGACAGAGUCACUCUCUGAGCCUGGAGCUUACCAAUUCAACUAGACUGGCCACCAAUCCUGUGGGAGUCACCUGUCUCCUUCCCUUCCUACCCUCCAGUGCCUCCUCUGCUGUGCCCAGCUUGUACAUGGGUACUGGGAAUCAAACGCAGGUCUUUGCUCUUGUAUGACAGCACUUUACUGACUGAACCAUCUCCCCAGCCCCUUGUGUUUUUACAUAUGUGUGUGGUAUUCACAUACCACAUAGUAUUUUAAUAACAUACUUUUGUGUAAUCAAAUUUGCAAAAAAAAUACAUAAAACAAUUUAAUGGUCUAUACAAUUCUUUACACAAUUGAAAACUUUUAUUAUUAGAAGUAAUGCAGAACUGAAAUAUACAACAUUCCUAAUUGCAAAUUAAUAAUGCUGGCAAUUUAAAAUAGC